Molecule: long non-coding RNA, 97 nt
Organism: Sapajus apella (tufted capuchin)
Lineage: Eukaryota; Metazoa; Chordata; Mammalia; Primates; Cebidae
Exons: 3
Source: RefSeq, a predicted model, not a curated record
UCUCUUCAUAAUCACCAUUCUACUCUCUCCUUACAAUGAGAUCAACUUUUUUACAUUCCACAUAUAAGUGAGAUCAUGCAAUAUUUGUCUUUCUGUG